This 253-nucleotide ribosomal RNA is filed under the name uncultured bacterium. RNAcentral's name for it is "partial 16S ribosomal RNA". It matches the Rfam family "Bacterial small subunit ribosomal RNA", at positions 524 to 776 of the family's 1533-position model. The record is from RNAcentral.
UACGAAGGGGGCUAGCGUUGCUCGGAAUCACUGGGCGUAAAGGGUGCGUAGGCGGGUCUUUUAGUCAGGGGUGAAAUCCUGGAGCUCAACUCCAGAACUGCCUUUGAUACUGAGGAUCUUGAGUUCGGGAGAGGUGAGUGGAACUGCGAGUGUAGAGGUGAAAUUCGUAGAUAUUCGUAAGAACACCAGUGGCGAAGGCGGCUCACUGGCCCGAUACUGACGCUGAGGCACGAAAGCGUGGGGAGCAAACAGG